This 100-nucleotide small RNA is filed under the name Prolemur simus (greater bamboo lemur). RNAcentral describes it as "Y RNA (ENSPSMG00000013143.1)". Lineage: Eukaryota; Metazoa; Chordata; Mammalia; Primates; Lemuridae. The record is from RNAcentral.
AAAAAGUGAAAGCUGUGCAGUGGUGCUUAUAACUAAUUGAUCACAACCAGUUACAGAUUGUUUUGUUCCUUCUUCAUUCCCACUAGUUCACUUGACUAAC